CGUCAGACGCACGCUGUUACGCAGAUGGUUGUGAAGGAUUGAAAGCAGCCGCCAGUAGGACUCCGAGGCUAAGCGAACAAAUGGCAGGUCACACAAGCACUUAUAACAAGGGAAUUUAUUAGCUGCUUAACCUCGUGCUGUACGGACUGCACCUAGCUGAAAGAAAAGCCCUGUACAUCGGGUUAAGUCGUUUACAGGAAAUAUGGCAUCUGUGGUAGAUUUAAAGUCAAAGGAGGAAAAAGAUGCAGAGUUGGACCGAAAGAUUGAAGCUUUACGUAAAAAAAAUGAGGCUCUAGUCAAGAGACACCAGCUCAUAGAGGAAGAUCGCAGGAGAGCUGAACAAGAGGGAAUCGCAGUCACAACACCCAGAAAAGGGAAACAUCUGGAGGCAGAGCUAGACAAAAGCCAUAAAGAAAAAGAAAAUGUAUCCGUUACUGUAGAUAUCUCUGCUGGGGAAAAACGGGUUAUUGAUAAUGCAAACCCUGCCAAAACUUCUCAGGCCUCUUCAAAUAAGGAUAGCACAUCAAGAAGCCCAACUCAGCGAAAAAGUGGUAGGAUAAGUGGGUUCUUGGGUGGAAGGGUACCCCACACAGAACAUCUAGCUGAACCAGUUAUGAAUGAUGGAGAUUCUUUGCAGCCUGAAAAAGGAAGAAUUUCGGGAGCAGAUGGACCAAGGAGAAACCAGCGUUUAUAUGGAGAUAUUUCAUCUCAAAGAGGAGGUUUAUCUCAUGGUGAGAGAGGGUCUGGAAGAGUUGGUGGAACCCCAGGGAGAGGUGGAAGUCCCAGAGGAAGUGGUGACCAUUCUUUGCCAUCAGACAAAAAGUCACAGGAGUGGCAGGAGAAACGAAAACAAAAUAUAGAACAGAUGAAUGAGGAAAUGGAGAAAAUUGCAGAAUAUGAACGAAGCCAACGGGGUGGCGUACGAGAGAAAAAUCCUAUCCGCAACUUUCUGGAUGAUCCCAGGCGCAUGGGGCCAUUCGCGGAUAGAGAUCGCAAGGAUGAUAGUCGCAGGCACAAUCGUAAUUGGGGUGGAGCUGAUUUUGAGAAAGUAAAAACUGGCAUGGACAAGGAGAAGGAGAGUCAUGGAAGAAGACCUGCAAUGAAGAACCAGAUGGAUGUGACUAUGUCAAUGACUGGUAGGGAAAGAGCAGAGUACAUGCGCUGGAAGAAGGAGCGGGAACAGAUAGACGAGGAGAGAAUGGCUCGUCAUCGCAAACCCACUGGGCAGUGGAGGCGGGAGUGGGAUGCAGAGAAAACAGAUACUAUGUUUAAGGACGGUGCCUCUCCACAUGUGGAAGAUGAGCCAGUCAGCAGGAGAGAAAAGGGAAAAGGAGGUGCUCCAAAGCCUCCAACCAUGGGUGAAUUCUUCCCUGGGAACAUUAUGGAAUCCAGUCAAAAGAGAGACCGGCAACGUGGUCAGGGACGAAACAAACCGUACAGCAUGCAUGAUAGCCGCUGGGAGGAGCCAGAAGAUGAGAAUGAAAAGGUGACAGAGGUAGCCGAGAAAGAGACUUGUGUGGAGAAAGCACAGGAUAUAAAUGUUGAGGCUGAGAAACAAUGCAAAACAGAAGUCUCAGAGGAGAUAGAAGUAGAAGAUGCUGAUGAUGAUGUAGAAGAUGAUGAUGGAUGGGAAGAUGUUGAUGGAGAUGAAGAGGAGGACCCAGAAUGCUCAGAUACCUCAUUAACGGAGAAAGGCCCACCAGAAGAAAAGCCCACCAAAGAACAGAUACCACCUACUCAAAAUGAAACUCCUAAGCUGAACUUGACUCCAACUCAAAGUGAAGAUAAAUCUGCAGAAGUGCAACCCACAAGCCCAUUUCUACCUGAAACAAACAGGCUAACAUCUGACUGGGGAGAGGAGAUGGAGAUGGUAUCUCCCUUUGUAAGCAGCAGUGAAGACAGCCCUCCCAGACCAGCUACCUCCAAGGAUGUCUGCAUAGACAGAGGAUCUCAAGACCACUUCACGCAUACAGAUCCUGGGCCAGAAUUUGAAGUUUUUCCGAAAAAAAGCUGAAGGACUGACCCAGAAUGUGACAGAGGAUGUGGAAUGUACUUCACAUGGAUCCCAUCAAGCCAACACAGAUCAGGUUAAUGGGAAGAAGCAGACCCUUGAAAAUGAUAUUAAUGGUGUUGCAACAAAGAAUGUCUCAGCUCAUUCUCCUGUGGAAGAUGGGGAAAAAUCAUUUGCUGAUGGUGGAGGAGCAGAAGUGUUGUCAGACAUGCCCGGGCCUUCUCCUAAGGAACCUAACCAAGCUGAUGAAGAAAUCAACCCAGAGAUGGAGCAGGACAUUGCAGCCCCAACUUCAUCUUGAUCAACAUAAUCAUCAUGUGUUCUACAAGUCAAGCUGCAGAACAUUGAAUGCAACUGAAGCUAUCUUGUUACUAGUCAGCACUGGGAUUCAAGUGACUAUACAGCUAUUGCACUUUCUACUUCCCAUAACUUCCUGGUGUCACUUUGACGUUUAGUAACUUGUAUUGCACUUAAAUACAGCAGAGCUUUGGAUCUUUGUAGAUCCUGAAAUAGGGGAGGAGGCAUGCUGGAAUAGAUAAAAACAAAGCGAUCUCCUCAAGUGUUUAUUUGGAAAAGGCUUAAUAAACACUCUGGGAAAUCUCCUUGCUUUCACCUGUUUCUGUGGGCUACAGCAUGUAUUCUGGAACUGUAGAGAGGUACAGUAGGUCUCCACAUCUAGUUUUGUGUACACAGUGGGAAAAAUGAAGCCCCAGUGCUGAGAAAGUGUAUCAUGCUAUUAGCAAGAUCAUCUUAUAUCUAUAAUUUAAAUCUAUAAUUUAUAUCUCAUAUUCAGGUGAGGUUAUUCAAAAAGUUCAAAUGCUGUGGGAUCAGUGGCUAUAUUUGGAAACUCACAUGAACAUAGCUCUGAAGCUGUACUUGCCUAUAAUCCAUAGGUUUUUUGUCCACAAAAGUAAAAAAAAAACACAUUUCUGUAUAUGCAUUGGCAAACAGCCAUUUUCUGUUUUUUUUGUUUUUUUUUUAGUCAGACCACCCUCAUACAGAAUAAUUUAAGAUAAGACA
This is an RNA transcript of Xenopus laevis (African clawed frog), 3031 nucleotides long. It is a transcript of the gene named coiled-coil domain containing 9 L homeolog, with no coding region annotated. The record is from RefSeq and is marked provisional. Lineage: Eukaryota; Metazoa; Chordata; Amphibia; Anura; Pipidae. The transcript has 15 exons.